UUUGAUGUUGACUCUGCCACCGCCAGCCUGAUGGUGAAUUUCAAAAUGGUUUUGAUUAGCAUUUCUUAAAACAAUUCAAAAAGAGAUCUAUAAAAUGUCUCAUUAGACAUAGAAUAAACUAACUGUAAUCAGUAUAGUUGACACAAAUCAGUGUAUUUCAUCUGUUAAUGAUCAUGUCAGUGACUGAGUUCAUGACUUAAGAUAACCAGCAUCUCAUAAAACCACCCUAUAAACGGAAAAGUCCUAAUAAGGAUGACCACACCAAAACAUUUCACUCAAUCCUUGAAAUCUUUAAACAGCAUAACCUCCAAAUCUCAGAACCUCCAAAAUCAUACAGAGAGCCAUUACUAAACUUGAAUGAAUCUGCCCCCUCCCACCCUCUCUGACACACACGCACACACACGCACACGCACACACGCGCACACGCACACACACGCACACACGCACGCACACACGCACACACACACACGCACACACACACACGCACACACGUACACGCACACACACGCACACGCACACACACACUCUUGCUUGUCACUGUGGGCACAUACACGCUGGGAUAGACACAUGGAAGUCAAGAGAGCAAUUUUCAGGAGUCAGCUCUCUCCUUCCGUCUUGGGUUCAAGGUAUCAAACUCAUGUCAUCUGGCUUAUGUGGAUAGACCAGUCCUUU
RNAcentral lists this long non-coding RNA (672 nucleotides) under Rattus norvegicus (Norway rat). RNAcentral describes it as "long non-coding RNA NONRATT019547". The record is from RNAcentral. Lineage: Eukaryota; Metazoa; Chordata; Mammalia; Rodentia; Muridae.